GGGGCCGAUCCGGAUUCGACGUGGGUCAUGAAACAGAGCAGGGCAUGUCGAGCACCAGUUCGCUCGUAAAUCCACUGGAAAACUACAAACGCCAACGACGAGCGUUUCGCUCUGGCCGCUUAAGCGGUGAGCCGCUGCACUGAUUUGUCUUUGGGUCAGCCAGGGUAAAACCUGGAGCAGCGUCAUCUACAAAGAAUCGGGUCUGUCUGGGUCACGAAGCCAGAUCUUAAAUCCAGUGAAUCGCCAAGGAAGGGCCUGUCGAUAGGCAUGAUCCAAGGUUAAAACUUAAAAUUUAUCGACUACACAUGUAGAACUGCCUGCGGAGGGCUUGCGGACGCGGGUUCAAUUCCCGCCGGCUCCACCA
This 364-nucleotide transfer-messenger RNA is filed under the name Kerstersia gyiorum. RNAcentral's name for it is "Standard tmRNA". It matches the Rfam family "transfer-messenger RNA". From Rfam's summary of the family: Bacterial tmRNA, also known as 10Sa RNA or SsrA, is named for its dual tRNA and mRNA-like properties. Its role is to liberate the mRNA from a stalled ribosome. To accomplish this part of the tmRNA is used as a reading frame that ends in a translation stop signal. Lineage: Bacteria; Pseudomonadati; Pseudomonadota; Betaproteobacteria; Burkholderiales; Alcaligenaceae. RNAcentral also lists the same sequence under 2 other names. The record is from Rfam by way of RNAcentral.